AUGGUGGCUGAGAAGCGACUCAUCCCAGAUGGCUGUGGGGUCAUGUACAUCCCCAAUUGUGGUCAGAGACAGACUGCGUCAAAGCUUGUUCUUAGGACCUGCUCUCCCUACCAUCCUCUGACAUCCCUUGGCUUUGCCAGCUUUCAGAGUGUCACCCUAUGUGAAUCAUUCUCACACCACUGCCAGGUAGCAUCUGUGACCUGGACUUUGCAGGCUGUUAGUGUUCUGGGACCUGUGUCUACCAGUGACUGGUACCACCAUCUGCCCGGCCCUGAAGUUGCUGUGGCCCUUCUCUCCCUCACACCUAUAGUCACCAAGUCCCCCGACUCUGCCUACUCAGUGCCUCCAUCAUGGAUAAGUUCUCUGCACACUGGAAUACUCAGCUCCAACAUCCUGUCUCCCCAGCCUGCUGCCCAGGACCUCCCUGCUGCUGUCAUAGAGACCCAAAAGCAACCGCCUCAUCAUGGAACACAAGAGCAGCCUACUGGAUACACAGACACAGCUGAAGAUUACACUGAGAAGCAAUUCUCUGAAAGGAUAGGCGUGUCCUCCGACACUUCUCUGGCGCUGUCCAAAACGGGAAAGGAAAAGACUCAUAUCAACAUUGUCGUCAUUGGACAUGUAGAUUUGGGCAAGUCCACCACUUGCCAGAAUGAUCCACUGGGGCCAUGUGAUCUACAAAUGUGGUGGCAUCAACAAAAGAACCAUUGAAAAAAUUUGAGAAGGAGGCUGCUGAGAUGGGAAAGGGCUCCUUCAAGUAUGCCUGGGUCUUGGAUAAGUUGAAAGCUGAGCUUGAACAUGGUAUCACCAUUGAUAUCUCCUUGUGGAAAUUCGAGACCAGCAAGUACUACAUGACUAUCAUUGAUGCCCCAGGACAUAGACACUUCCCCAAAAGCAUGAUUAUGGUGACAUCUCAGGCUGACUGUGCUGUUUUGAUUGUUGCCCAUGGUGUUGGUGAAUUUGAAGCUGGUAUCUCCAAGAAUGGGCAGACCUGAGAGCAUGCCCUUCUGGCUUACAUACUAGUGAAACAACUAAUUGUUGGUGUUAACAAAAUGGAUUCCAUUGAGCCACCCAACACUUAGAAUAGAUAUGAGGAAAUACGAAGUCAGCACUUACAUUAAGAAAAUUGGCUACAACCCCAACACAGUAGCAUUUGUGCCAAUUUCUGGUUGGAAUCAUGACAGCAUGCUGGAGCCAAGUGUUAACAUGCCUUGAUUCAAGGGAUGGAAAGCCACUUGAAAGGAUGGCAAUGCCAGGGGAACCCGCUGCCUGAGGCUCUGGACUGCAUCCUACCACCAACUGAUCCAACUGACAAGCACUUGUGCCUGCCUCUCCAGGAGGUCUACAAAAUUGGUGGUAUUGGUACUGUUCCUGUUGGCUGAGUAGAGACUGGUGUUCUCAAACCUGGUAUGGUGGUCACCUUUGCUCCAGUCAACAUUACAACUUAAGUAAACUCUGUCGAAAUGCACCAUGAAGCUUUGAGUGAAGUUCCUUCCAGGGACAAUGUGGGAUUCAAUGUCAAGAAUGCGUCUGUCAAGGAUGUUUGUCAUGGCGUCAUUGCUGGUGACAGCAAGAACAACCCACUGAUGGAAGCAGCUGGCUUCACUGCUCAGGUGAUUAUCCCGAGCCAUCAGGCCAAAUCAGUGCUGGCUAUGCCCCUGUGCUGGAUUGCCACAUGGCUCACAUUGCAUGCAAGUGUGCUGAACUAAAGGGAAAGGUUGAUCACCAUUCUGGUAAGAAGCUGGAAGAUGGCCCGAGAUUCUUGAAGUCUGGUGAUGCUUCCAUCAUUGAUAUGGUUCCUGGCAAGCCCAUGUGUGUUGAGAGCUUCUCAGAAUAUCCACCUCUGGGUCACUUUGCUAUUAGUGAUAUGAGACGGACAGUUGCCGUGGGUGUCAUCAAAGCAGUGAACAAGAAGGCUGCUGGAGCUGGCAAGGUCCCAGGUCUGCCUAGAAAGCUCAGCAGGCUAAAUGAAUAUUAUCCCUAAGACCUGCCACCCCAGUCUUAGUCAGUGGUGGAAGAACGGUCUCAGAACUGUUUGUUUCAAUUGGCCAUUUAAGUUUAGUAAUAAAAGGCUGGGUAAUGACAACAAUGUAUUGUAAAACCUUCAGGAGGAAAGGAAUGUUUUGUGGACCACUUUGGUUUUCUUUUUUGCAUGUGGCAGUUUUAAGUUAUUAGUUUUUAAAAUCAGUACUUUUUAAUGAAAGCAACUUGACCUAAAAUUUGUCACAGAAUUUUGAGACCCAUUAAAAAAGUUUAA
Molecule: non-coding RNA, 2257 nt
Organism: Callithrix jacchus (white-tufted-ear marmoset)
Lineage: Eukaryota; Metazoa; Chordata; Mammalia; Primates; Cebidae
Source: RefSeq, a predicted model, not a curated record